This 1638-nucleotide ribosomal RNA is filed under the name Triticum aestivum (bread wheat). Its description in RNAcentral is "partial small subunit ribosomal RNA". Lineage: Eukaryota; Viridiplantae; Streptophyta; Magnoliopsida; Poales; Poaceae. The record is from RNAcentral.
AUGGAGGGAUCCUUCCCCGCCUCUUCCUUACACCCCCCCGCCGUAGCACCCGCCACCACCCGCUGUGCCCCAUGGGUUCUUCUUGACAGUAGGGCCUACUUUGCCGUCUGCAAGAACGCCACCACCGCUGAAGCCACCACCAGCACCAGUCACAUGGUCAAGGUCAGUUUCUGCCUCUCAGAUCCGCCGGCAAUCUCACACUUUUGCGUCUUUGGCCCCGAGUUGAAGCACGAAGAUUUCAUGAUGGAACCCCUGGUUCUCUUCUCGGCGAAGGACCUCGUACUCCUCCGCCUCGCCUUCACCGUCGGUCCACGAAGCACCCAUAAGGAUUCUCGUCUCGCCGAGUACUUUCUCUACAAGGCUGGUCGUGGCAAGCCGUCGCUCGAACCGAUCCCGGUUACUCCACCAGGCACCAGGAACUCGUUCCACAUCUGCGUCCUGCCGUCCGACGACGACGAUGGGGAAUUUGUCAUCGCGGAUCUCUGCAUGACAAAUCCCCGUUCGGACUACGAGCUUCAUGUCUUCUCUUCCAAGACUGGCAAGUGGACCACCAAGCAGUUGCGGUUACAGGCAUCUCCCGUAGUAAAGAAAGAAGACCUGCCUGGCCCAUCACUCGACAAGGUGAUUGCGCUUGGAGGAGGUGCUGUAGGCUGGAUCGACCUCUGGCGGGGUAUCAUCAGCUGCAACGUGUUUGACAAGAACCCCGUUCUAAGUUUCACCCCAGUGCCCAUGCUUGAAGAAAACGAGCGACAUGAAGGUAACCCACGCCUGUUCAGGGACAUCACCUGCUCCAAUGGUGUCAUCAAGUUUGUAGAGUUGGAUCUUCGUUUCAAAAAGGUUGCUGUUCACAACAUCAAGACUCGCAAGACGACAAAGGAUCUUGACAGCGUAGAUAUCAUCCAUGAUUCAGAGCUGCUCUUCCACAAAGAUGAUUCAUGUACCGACCCUGUGGAAUAUACUCUUGUUGAUGAUGGUUGGAAGCUCCGGACAUGUUAUAGGCAUACUUCCUGGGACUAUUGGCGCAAGGGGCACACUGUUGAUAUUGAUGACAUCUUGGCUGACAAUACUGAUCACUCUAUGUUGCUCCCACAACUGUGGGAUGCUAAAGCUGGGAAAUCAACAUUGAGAAAUCUGUAUUCGGCUUACCCAACCCUGGGCAUUGACGGUGGCAACAUUGUUUACCUGAUGUCUAAGGUUGUUUAUAAUGAUGAGAAUGCAUGGAUGAUUGGUGUUGACCUUGAAAUUAAGGCAGUGGAAGUACUCGUACCAGUCUCUUCUGAGAGAGUCUGUUUAUUCAAGCCAGACUUCCUCCCCUGUACAUUCUCCAAAUAUCUUGAUGCAACUCCAAGGUCAUGUGCAGAGGAAGUCAUCCCUACUGCAAAUGUGGUUCAGAAAUCUCUACUUAAUGAUCAUGUUUCAUCAGGCAAUUUUUCUCUAAAUAAGCUGUCACCGCUGCAGGAUACACGGCAGUGCUAUGGGGGUUCGACUGAAUAUGCUGGUCCAUACGCAGGCUACCGCAACUAUCAGCAGCAUUUAACCGCAGGUAAUGGCACUGAAGCUGAUUGCUGUAUGGGGCUUUUCCAUUUCUGUUUUUCGUCCAUGUGUUCUUCUAUUGUACUCGUGAUAUUCAACUCUUAA